This 96-nucleotide small nuclear RNA is filed under the name Sciurus vulgaris (Eurasian red squirrel). The record is from RNAcentral. Lineage: Eukaryota; Metazoa; Chordata; Mammalia; Rodentia; Sciuridae.
AAACCAUAGAGGGCUUGUGUUGGAGUGAAACAGGGAAGAUUAACAUAGCCCUUGAACCAGGAUGAUACACAAGUUUGUGCAGCAUUCCAUUUUUUC